AUGCGAUAAGUAAUGUGAAUUGCAGAAUUCAGUGAAUCAUCGAAUCUUUGAACGCACCUUGCGCCCUUUGGUAUUCCGAAGGGCACGCCUGUUUGAGUGUCGUGAAAUU
Molecule: ribosomal RNA, 109 nt
Filed under: Agaricales sp. HK-S179
Lineage: Eukaryota; Fungi; Basidiomycota; Agaricomycetes; Agaricales
Description: partial 5.8S ribosomal RNA
Rfam family: 5.8S ribosomal RNA
About the family: 5.8S ribosomal RNA (5.8S rRNA) is a component of the large subunit of the eukaryotic ribosome. It is transcribed by RNA polymerase I as part of the 45S precursor that also contains 18S and 28S rRNA. Functionally, it is thought that 5.8S rRNA may be involved in ribosome translocation.
Source: RNAcentral